CGGCUACACAUGCAGUCGAGCGGAUGAAGGGAGCUUGCUCCUGGAUUCAGCGGCGGACGGGUGAGUAAUGCCUAGGAAUCUGCCUGGUACUGGGGGACAACGUUUCGAAAGGAACCCUAAUACCGCAUACGUCCUACUGGAGAAAGCAGGGGACCUUCGGGCCUUGCGCUAUCCGAUGAGCCUAGGUCGGAUUACCUAGUUGGUGAGGUAAUGGCUCACCAAGGCGACGAUCCGUAACUGGUCUGACAUGAUGAUCAGUCACACUGGAACUGAGACACGGUCCAUACUCCUACGGGAGGAAGCAGUGGGGAAUAUUGGACAAUGGGCGAAAGCCUGAUCCAGCCAUGCCGCGUGUGUGAAGAAGGUCUUCUGAUUGUAAAGCUCUUUAAGUUGGGAGGAAGGGUUGUAGAUUAAUACUCUGCAAUUUUGACGUUACCGACCGAAUAAGCACCGGCUAACUCUGUGCCAGCAGCCUCGGUAAUACAGAGGGUGCAAGCGUUAAUCGGAAUUACUGGGCGUAAAGCGCGCGUAGGUGGUUCGUUAAGUUGGAUGUGAAAUCCCCGGGCUCAACCUGGGAACUGCAUUCAAAACUGUCGAGCUAGAGUAUGGUAGAGGGUGGUGGAAUUUCCUGUGUAGCGGUGAAAUGCGUAGAUAUAAGAAGGAACACCAGUGGCGAAGGCGACCACCUGGACUGAUACUGACACUGAGGUGCUAAAGCGUGGGGAGCAAACCGGAUUAGAUACCCUGGUAGUCCACGCCGUAAACGAUGUCAACUAGCCGUUGGGAGCCUUGAGCUCUUAGUGGCGCAGCUAACGCAUUAAGUUGACCGCCUGGGGAGUACGGCCGCGAGGUUUAAACUCAAAUGGAUUGACGGGGGCCCGCACAAGCGGUGGAGCAUGUGGUUUAAUUCCAAGCAACGCGAAGAACCUUACCAGGCCUUGACAUCCCAUGAACUUUCCUGAGAUGGAUUGGUGCCUUCGGGAACAUUGAGACAGGUGCUGCAUGGCUGUCGUCAGCUCGUGU
Molecule: ribosomal RNA, 1023 nt
Filed under: Pseudomonas sp.
Lineage: Bacteria; Pseudomonadati; Pseudomonadota; Gammaproteobacteria; Pseudomonadales; Pseudomonadaceae
Description: bacterial SSU rRNA
Rfam family: Bacterial small subunit ribosomal RNA
Source: RNAcentral